AGAGUUUGAUCAUGGCUCAGAAUCAACGCUGGCGGCGUGCCUAACACAUGCAAGUCGCACGAGAAAGGGUAGCAAUACCUGAGUAAAGUGGCGCACGGGUGAGUAACACGUGAAUUAUCUACCUCCGAGUGGGGAAUAACUGAGAGAAAUCUUAGCUAAUACCGCAUAACACUUACGAGUCAAAGCAGCAAUGCGCUUGGAGAGGAGUUCGCGGCCGAUUAGUUAGUUGGCGGGGUAAUGGCCCACCAAGACGAUGAUCGGUAUCCGGCCUGAGAGGGCGCACGGACACACUGGAACUGAAACACGGUCCAGACUCCUACGGGAGGCAGCAGUGGGGAAUUUUGCGCAAUGGGGGAAACCCUGACGCAGCAACGCCGCGUGGAGGAUGAAAUAUCUUGGUAUGUAAACUCCUUUCGAUGGGGAAGAUUAUGACGGUACCCAUAGAAGAAGCCCCGGCUAACUUCGUGCCAGCAGCCGCGGUAAUACGAGGGGGGCAAGCGUUGUUCGGAUUUAUUGGGCGUAAAGGGUGCGUAGGCGGUUUGGCAAGUCUGAUGUGAAAUCUAUGGGCUCAACCCAUAGUCUGCAUUAGAAACUGCCGGGCUUGAGUAUGGGAGAGGUGAGUGGAAUUUCCGGUGUAGCGGUGAAAUGCGUAGAUAUCGGAAGGAACACCUGUGGCGAAAGCGGCUCACUGGACCAUAACUGACGCUGAUGUACGAAAGCUAGGGGAGCAAACAGGAUUAGAUACCCUAGUAGUCC
This 756-nucleotide ribosomal RNA is filed under the name uncultured bacterium. Its description in RNAcentral is "bacterial SSU rRNA". It matches the Rfam family "Bacterial small subunit ribosomal RNA", at positions 8 to 796 of the family's 1533-position model. The record is from RNAcentral.